GAUGAAGAACGUAGCAAAAUGCGAUAAGUAAUGUGAAUUGCAGAAUUCAGUGAAUCAUCGAAUCUUUGAACGCACAUUGCGCCCGCCAGUAUUCUGGCGGGCAUGCCUGUUCGAGCGUCAUUUCAACCCUCAAGCACAGCUUGGUGUUGGGACUCGCGUUAAUUCGCGUUCCUCAAAUUGAUUGGCGGUCACGUCGAGCUUCCAUAGCGUAGUAGUAAAACCCUCGUAACUGGUAAUCGUCGCGGCCACGCCGUUAAACCCCAACUUCUGAAUGUUGACCUCGGAUCAGGUAGGAAUACCCGCUGAACUUAAGCAUAUCAAUAAGCGGAGGA
Molecule: unclassified non-coding RNA, 332 nt
Filed under: soil metagenome
Description: partial contains 5.8S ribosomal RNA, internal transcribed spacer 2, and large subunit ribosomal RNA
Rfam family: 5.8S ribosomal RNA (bases 1-120)
Source: RNAcentral